Lycium barbarum (goji berry) is the source of this 793-nucleotide long non-coding RNA. RefSeq lists it as uncharacterized. The record is from RefSeq and is a predicted model, not a curated record. NCBI's taxonomy places the organism in Eukaryota, Viridiplantae, Streptophyta, Magnoliopsida, Solanales, Solanaceae. The transcript is spliced from 5 exons.
CUCAGAAUCAGCCUUUGACACAACUCUCCUGCUUCGGUUCAACUCCAGAGGUCAAAACUAUUUGCUGCGUCUGCUAAUUUUCAAUCUUUUUCCUUCUCUGUAAUUUUUCAAUUUCCUCCUUCGGUGUUCAUCGUUCUAAGUGUGUGUGCUCUUUGUGUUGGACUUGGAGAUGAAAGAUGAGUUCAACCAUGAUGGCAUUGUGGUUGAAGUACAAUACAAAUGACCUGUACAUGAGAAACUAACUAAAAAGAAGUAUGCAGAAGAGCAUUUCAAGCAACGUAUCCUUCUAGCAUCCACGUGAGUUGUUCUACUUGGAGUAACGUCAUUAGGUGCAAAAGGAAUGCCCGGGCCCAACAUGAAAAGGUAAUAUGGAGGAUUUACUACACCCCUUACAUACUGUGCUUGGCUGGAAUAUCAAGUUCAGUAAUCUUAACAGGGUAAUGACACUAGCUUGAGAUAUGACAAUUUAUUCGAUGCAAGAAGAGAUGCCAUUAGGAUUCAAACUCUAGAUGUACUAUUGGUACUCCAGCAGUCAAGACCUCCUACUUGAAGUCAUCCCCUUAGAUGCUAUACGAUCAUUCUUUGUGGGAUUGUUGAUAAAUUAGUUAUUCCAUGUAAUUAUUCAUUUCUCUUUCUUUAUGAAAAUUUAAUAUGUCUAGCAACUCUUGGAAAGUAUUUAGCGGAUGAUUUCCAUGAAGAACCUAUAGAAGGUUCUAUAAAGAUUUUUUCAAAGAUGCUGACUCAUAAAAUUCACCCUUUUCACAUUGUAAAGGUUAAUGUUGGGCCAUGCAUU